AUUGAACGCUGGCGGCAUGCCUUACACAUGCAAGUCGAACGGUAACAGGUCUUCGGAUGCUGACGAGUGGCGAACGGGUGAGUAAUACAUCGGAACGUGCCUAGUAGUGGGGGAUAACUACUCGAAAGAGUGGCUAAUACCGCAUGAGAUCUACGGAUGAAAGCAGGGGAUCGCAAGACCUUGUGCUACUAGAGCGGCAGAUGGCAGAUUAGGUAGUUGGUGGGAUAAAAGCUUACCAAGCCGACGAUCUGUAGCUGGUCUGAGAGGACGAUCAGCCACACUGGGACUGAGACACGCCCCAGACUCCUACGGGAGGCAGCAGUGGGGAAUUUUGGACAAUGGGCGCAAGCCUGAUCCAGCAAUGCCGCGUGCAGGAUGAAGGCCUUCGGGUUGUAAACUGCUUUUGUACGGAACGAAAAGCCCUGGGUUAAUACCCUGGGGUCAUGACGGUACCGUAAGAAUAAGCACCGGCUAACUACGUGCCAGCCGCCGCCGUAA
Molecule: ribosomal RNA, 498 nt
Filed under: uncultured bacterium
Lineage: Bacteria
Description: partial 16S ribosomal RNA
Rfam family: Bacterial small subunit ribosomal RNA
Source: RNAcentral